GAUGAACGCUGGCGGCGUGCCUAACACAUGCAGUCGAGCGAGAACUUAUGUAAGGAACUUCGGUAGAUUUACAAAAGGGAAAGCGGCGGACGGGUGAGUAACGCGUAGGCAACCUGCCCCAUACAGGGGGAUAGCCACCGGAAACGGUGAUUAAUACCUCAUAAAGCAUAGAUAACACAUGUUAAAGAUGUCAAAGAGAAUUCGGUAUGGGAUGGGCCUGCGUCUGAUUAGUUAGUUGGUGAGGUAACGGCUCACCAAGGCGACGAUCAGUAGCCGACCUGAGAGGGUAGGCGGCCACAUUGGAACUGAGACACGGUCCAGACUCCUACGGGAGGCAGCAGUGGGGAAUAUUGCACAAUGGGCGAAAGCCUGAUGCAGCAACGCCGUGUGAAUGAAGAAGGCCUUAGGGUCGUAAAAUUCUGUCCUAAGGGAAGAAAAAGAUGACGGUACCUUAGGAGGAAGCC
This 464-nucleotide ribosomal RNA is filed under the name Peptostreptococcaceae bacterium oral taxon 103. RNAcentral's name for it is "bacterial SSU rRNA". It matches the Rfam family "Bacterial small subunit ribosomal RNA", at positions 28 to 492 of the family's 1533-position model. Lineage: Bacteria; Bacillati; Bacillota; Clostridia; Peptostreptococcales; Peptostreptococcaceae. The record is from RNAcentral.